Molecule: ribosomal RNA, 1507 nt
Filed under: metagenome
Description: bacterial SSU rRNA
Rfam family: Bacterial small subunit ribosomal RNA
Source: RNAcentral
AGAGUUUGAUCCUGGCUCAGGACGAACGCUGGCGGCGUGCCUAAUACAUGCAAGUCGAGCGGACAGAUGGGAGCUUGCUCCCUGAUGUUAGCGGCGGACGGGUGAGUAACACGUGGGUAACCUGCCUGUAAGACUGGGAUAACUCCGGGAAACCGGGGCUAAUACCGGAUGGUUGUUUGAACCGCAUGGUUCAAACAUAAAAGGUGGCUUCGGCUACCACUUACAGAUGGACCCGCGGCGCAUUAGCUAGUUGGUGAGGUAACGGCUCACCAAGGCGACGAUGCGUAGCCGACCUGAGAGGGUGAUCGGCCACACUGGGACUGAGACACGGCCCAGACUCCUACGGGAGGCAGCAGUAGGGAAUCUUCCGCAAUGGACGAAAGUCUGACGGAGCAACGCCCCGUGAGUGAUGAAGGUUUUCGGAUCGUAAAGCUCUGUUGUUAGGGAAGAACAAGUGCCGUUCGAAUAGGGCGGUACCUUGACGGUACCUAACCAGAAAGCCACGGCUAACUACGUGCCAGCAGCCGCGGUAAUACGUAGGUGGCAAGCGUUGUCCGGAAUUAUUGGGCGUAAAGGGCUCGCAGGCGGUUUCUUAAGUCUGAUGUGAAAGCCUCCGGCUCAACCGGGGAGGGUCAUUGGAAACUGGGGAACUUGAGUGCAGAAGAGGAGAGUGGAAUUCCACGUGUAGCGGUGAAAUGCGUAGAGAUGUGGAGGAACACCAGUGGCGAAGGCGACUCUCUGGUCUGUAACUGACGCUGAGGAGCGAAAGCGUGGGGAGCGAACAGGAUUAGAUACCCUGGUAGUCCACGCCGUAAACGAUGUCGACUUGGAGGUUGUGCCCUUGAGGCGUGGCUUCCGGAGCUAACGCGUUAAGUCGACCGCCUGGGGAGUACGGCCGCAAGGUUAAAACUCAAAUGAAUUGACGGGGGCCCGCACAAGCGGUGGAGCAUGUGGUUUAAUUCGAUGCAACGCGAAGAACCUUACCUGGUCUUGACAUCCACGGAAGUUUUCAGAGAUGAGAAUGUGCCUUCGGGAACCGUGAGACAGGUGCUGCAUGGCUGUCGUCAGCUCGUGUUGUGAAAUGUUGGGUUAAGUCCCGCAACGAGCGCAACCCUUAUCCUUUGUUGCCAGCGGUCCGGCCGGGAACUCAAAGGAGACUGCCAGUGAUAAACUGGAGGAAGGUGGGGAUGACGUCAAGUCAUCAUGGCCCUUACGACCAGGGCUACACACGUGCUACAAUGGCGCAUACAAAGAGAAGCGACCUCGCGAGAGCAAGCGGACCUCAUAAAGUGCGUCGUAGUCCGGAUUGGAGUCUGCAACUCGACUCCAUGAAGUCGGAAUCGCUAGUAAUCGUGGAUCAGAAUGCCACGGUGAAUACGUUCCCGGGCCUUGUACACAUCGCCCGUCACACCAUGGGAGUGGGUUGCAAAAGAAGUAGGUAGCUUAACCUUCGGGAGGGCGCUUACCACUUUGUGAUUCAUGACUGGGGUGAAGUCGUAACAAGGUA